This is a non-coding RNA of Odocoileus virginianus texanus, 720 nucleotides long. The record is from RefSeq and is a predicted model, not a curated record. NCBI's taxonomy places the organism in Eukaryota, Metazoa, Chordata, Mammalia, Artiodactyla, Cervidae.
UGAGCCCUGCUUGCAGCGGUGGUCCUCUGGCACUGGUAGACCAUUCUCAACACCACUUUCCGGGUGACCCUGGGGCAGCCUCUGAAGCCAGCCGUCCUUAGGUUCUCUUACUCAAAGUUGACUUUGGGUCCCUAGUUGUGCUUCCUCCAUCCUGACUGUGAGAGCUUCCAGAGGUCACGGUCCAUCAGUUGCGCCAUCCCAGCGUCUUUAUCCCAGGUCACGAAGUCCUACAUCAGCGUGCCACGGGGAAGGGCAAGGCCUGGUCAUAAAAGUCAGACUCCUAGGACACCAGGGCCCAGGCAGUGUAGGGGUAGUAGAUGAAACAUGUUUCCUGCUGGCUGAGGUGCCAGGGAAGAGUCACCUCCUUGCUGCCCCUGGACCAGACAGGUCCGGAUGCCCUUGAACUGCAUUCCCAAAGGAGCUCCAGUUCAAAGCCACCAGUGCAGCAACUGGGACAACACCGUGAGGAACAUUUACAAGCAGAGGAAAGAGUAAGUACAAACACCCCGAGGGGAGAACGAGAUUGAUCUUCAGAGCACUGUGCAGUAAAGAGAGCCAUGGAUUUACCAGUUCUCAAGCUGAGGCACAGUGUGAAGAAGGCUUCUUGGAGCAAUGUGGAGAACUGGAUGGCAAGCUGUGAGCAACUUCCAUUGUGAAUCAAGAAUUCAUUCAAAACACAUCUGACUUCAGGUUUUCCUUUUAACAGUAAAAAUGGCAACA